CCUACGUGCGGCAGCAGUGGGGAAUAUUGGACAAUGGGCGAAAGCCUGAUCCAGCCAUGCCGCGUGUGUGAAGAAGGCCUUCGGGUUGUAAAGCACUUUCAGUGGGGAAGAAAGCCUUGGGGCUAAUACCCUCGAGGAAGGACAUCACCCACAGAAGAAGCACCGGCUAACUCCGUGCCAGCAGCCGCGGUAAUACGGAGGGUGCGAGCGUUAAUCGGAAUUACUGGGCGUAAAGCGCGCGUAGGCGGUCUGAUAAGCCGGUUGUGAAAGCCCCGGGCUCAACCUGGGAACGGCAUCCGGAACUGUCAGGCUAGAGUGCAGGAGAGGAAGGUAGAAUUCCCGGUGUAGCGGUGAAAUGCGUAGAUAUCGGGAGGAAUACCAGUGGCGAAGGCGGCCUUCUGGACUGACACUGACGCUGAGGUGCGAAAGCGUGGGUAGCGAACAGGAUUAGAUACCCUUGUAGUC
This 465-nucleotide ribosomal RNA is filed under the name Vreelandella stevensii. Its description in RNAcentral is "partial 16S ribosomal RNA". It matches the Rfam family "Bacterial small subunit ribosomal RNA", at positions 338 to 795 of the family's 1533-position model. Lineage: Bacteria; Pseudomonadati; Pseudomonadota; Gammaproteobacteria; Oceanospirillales; Halomonadaceae. The record is from RNAcentral.